CAGGUAGGACUACCCGCUGAGA
RNAcentral lists this ribosomal RNA (22 nucleotides) under Thaxterogaster sp. H6558. RNAcentral's name for it is "partial 28S ribosomal RNA". Lineage: Eukaryota; Fungi; Basidiomycota; Agaricomycetes; Agaricales; Cortinariaceae. The record is from RNAcentral.